Molecule: long non-coding RNA, 1532 nt
Organism: Leucoraja erinaceus (little skate)
Lineage: Eukaryota; Metazoa; Chordata; Chondrichthyes; Rajiformes; Rajidae
Exons: 3
Source: RefSeq, a predicted model, not a curated record
AGUUGUGGAGUGGGGAGGACUGGGAGCUGCUUUCAUUGAGCAAGCAGAGUGCUUGUGGUGGCAGCAAGUUUCAUUGUUUGAGCCGCGCCUGACGUCAGCCCGGGGUGAACCACAUGCACUGGAGCUGAAAAACUCUCCGUGUCCUCGCAGCUCCGCCGAAUUAACCCAACCCCCCCCUUCAAAUCUUUUAUUUUCUCCUCCCGCCUCAAUUACACACAAAAAAAAAGUUUGGAAAGGGGAAAACCAGGAAGGUUCAGAGCAAAUAACCGCACCGUCUUGUGUUAUCUUUAAAACUCUCUCUCUCGACGUAUCCGGAAGGGAAGUCGAUGACAUUUGCGGGGCUGUAGGUGUAAAUACUACCUUUAAGGUGACCAUCCUACAGUCCAAAUGAGAGCAGACAAUUCAGUUGUGAUCGGUGCGAUGUACACUAAACCACACUAAGACGAGAGCUUCUUGAAUAGUGGUACAUCCUUUUAUUCCAAGGCUAUGGACUCUGUCCAAGACUCUUCUACUAAUGAAAAUUUCCUCUCUACAUUCACUCUAUUCAGGUGUUUCACUAUUCGGUAUGUUUCAAUGAGGUGGCCCCUCAUCCUAAACUCCAGCGAGUGCAGUCCUGGUGCCAAACGCUCAUCAUAUGUUAACCCACUCAUUCCUGGGAUCAUUCUCGUAAACAUCCUCUGGACCCUCUCCAAAUGCCAUAACAUCCUUCCUCAGAUAUGGGGCCCAAAACUGGUCACAGUACUCCAAAUGUGGUCUGACUAGUGCCUUAUUAAGCCUCAGCAUUUCAUAAAAAAACAUAGAAACAUAGAAAUUAGGUGCAGGAGUAGGUCAUUCGGCCCUUCGAGCCUGCACCGCCAUUCAAUAUGAUCAUGGCUGAUCAUCCAACUCAGUAUCCCGUACCUGCCUUCUCUCCAUACCCCCUGAUCCCCUUAGCCAGAAGGGCCGCAUCUAACUCCCUCUUAAAUAUAGCCAAUGAACUGGCCUCAACUACCCUCUGUGCCAGAGAGUUCCAGAGAUUCACCACUCUCUGUGUGAAAAAAGUUAUUUUCAUCCCUGUUUUGUAUUGUAGCCCUCGCUAAAUAAAUUCAUUGCAUUCUCCUUCCUUACUAUCGAUUAAACUCACAAAUUUACUUUUUGGGAAUCCUGCAGCAGCACUCCCAAGUCUCUUUGCAUCUCCGAUUUCUGAAUUCUCUCCCCAUUUAGAAAAUAGCCUAUGCCUUUAUUCCUACCAAAAUGCACGACUACACACUUCACUAUGCUGUAAUCCAUCUGCCACUUCUCAGCCCACUCUCCCAGCCCAUCUAAGUUAUUUUACAGAGUCCUUGCAUUCUCUACACUACAUGUCCCUCCAUCUAUCUUUGCAACAUCUGCAAAGUUGGCCACAAAGCCUUCAAUUCUCUCAUACAAAUCAUUUAUAUAUACCGUGAAAAGUAGUGGGCCCCAACUUGGACCCUUGCGGAACACCGCUUGUCACUGGCAGCCAAACAGAAAAAGCCCCCUUUAUUGCCACGUUCGUGGAAGUUUUUAUCCAA